UCGUGCUAGACGGGGAGCUAGCGGUGCCCUGUAACCCGAAAUCCGCUUAUGCGGGGUUGAAAGUCCUUUGUGAGAACCGUGAUAAGGGAUUGUCCUUUUUUCACUUCAGGAGAUGGAGUGGAACUCACGUGACAGACGCUUAUGAACCCCGUCAGGUCCGGGAGGAAGCAGCGGUAAGUAAGGCAGUCUGUGUCAUGAGCAACUCUACUUCUUUUCUCCGAGUGAUGAGUACUUUCCCUUCAUGAUUCGAAAAAGGAUGCACGA
RNAcentral lists this signal recognition particle RNA (264 nucleotides) under Desulfobacterales bacterium. RNAcentral describes it as "signal recognition particle sRNA large type". It matches the Rfam family "Bacterial large signal recognition particle RNA". Rfam says of the family: The signal recognition particle (SRP) is a universally conserved ribonucleoprotein involved in the co-translational targeting of proteins to membranes. Archaeal SRP consists of a 7S RNA and homologues of the eukaryotic SRP19 and SRP54 proteins. In most bacteria, the SRP consists of a 4.5S RNA and the Ffh protein (a homologue of the eukaryotic SRP54 protein). Lineage: Bacteria; Pseudomonadati; Thermodesulfobacteriota; Desulfobacteria; Desulfobacterales. The record is from RNAcentral.